UAAAGAAUCUUCUGAGUAAAUGAUUAAAUAAAUCAAAACUUUCAACAACGGAUCUCUUGGUUCUGGCAUCGAUGAAGAACGCAGCGAAAUGCGAUAAGUAAUGUGAAUUGCAGAAUUCAGUGAAUCAUCGAAUCUUUGAACGCACAUUGCGCCCGCCAGUAUUCUGGCGGGCAUGCCUGUUCGAGCGUCAUUUCAACCCUCAAGCCCCCGGGCUUGGUGUUGGAGAUCGGCGUGCCCCCCGGGGCGCGCCGCCUCCCAAAUAUAGUGGCGGUCUCGCUGUAGCUUCCUCUGCGUAGUAGCACACCUCGCACUGGAAAACAGCGUGGCCACGCCGUUAAACCCCCCACUUCUGAAAGGUUGACCUCGGAUCAGGUAGGAAUACCCGCUGAACUUAAGCAUAUCAAUAAGCGGAGG
Molecule: ribosomal RNA, 414 nt
Filed under: Ilyonectria sp. nwa_besc_80cg
Lineage: Eukaryota; Fungi; Ascomycota; Sordariomycetes; Hypocreales; Nectriaceae
Description: eukaryotic LSU rRNA
Rfam family: 5.8S ribosomal RNA (bases 37-190)
Source: RNAcentral